This 668-nucleotide ribosomal RNA is filed under the name Umbelopsis angularis. Its description in RNAcentral is "eukaryotic LSU rRNA". It matches the Rfam family "Eukaryotic large subunit ribosomal RNA", at positions 66 to 656 of the family's 3401-position model. The record is from RNAcentral. Lineage: Eukaryota; Fungi; Mucoromycota; Umbelopsidomycetes; Umbelopsidales; Umbelopsidaceae.
UAACAAGGAUUCCCUCAGUAACGGCGAGUGAAGCGGGAAGAGCUCAAAUUUAAAAUCUGGUUUGCUUGCAAGCCCGAGUUGUAGUCUGAAGAAACGUUUUCCAUAAGCACUGAGGCAAAAGUCCCUUGGAACAGGGCAUCAUAGAGGGUGAGAAUCCCGUCCAUGGUCUCAAGUUGUUUAUUUUGUGAUACGUUUUCAAAGAGUCAGGUUGUUUGGGAAUGCAGCCUAAAAUGGGUGGUAAAUUUCAUCUAAAGCUAAAUAUUGGCGAGAGACCGAUAGCGAACAAGUACCGUGAGGGAAAGAUGAAAAGAACUUUGAAAAGAGAGUUAAACAGUACGUGAAAUUGUUGAAAGGGAACCGUUUGAAGCCAGUCUUACUUGCCUGUGAUCAAUUUUUGCCUCGGCAUGAAUGCACUCUCGGGUAUGGUAGGCCAACGACAGUUUGGAAUGCGAGAAAAAAAUAAGGGAAAUGUGGCCUUCGGGUGUUAUAGUCCCUUAUAAAAUAUCGUGUUCUGGACUGAGGAUCGCAGCAAAAACGUGGGCAGGUGGAUUUCUGUGGUAACUGUCGGUUAGGACAACUUGUUGACCUAGUCUUCCUUAGCCUCACUAUUUACCUCGCUUCUAAUUUGCUUAGGUCGUUGGCAUAAUGGCUUUAAAUGACCCGUCUUG